CUCAUUUACCAAUAGAGAAAAAUAUCUCUACAUAGAAUGGACUUUCCUGGUGGCUCAGACGGUAAAGAAUCUGCCUGCAAUGCAGGAGACCCGGUGCUAACAGAAUGAGGAGAGGAUGUGGGAGUCAGUGCGCAUGGAGCUGAGCUAAGAGUUUCAAGUCCACCCUUCUCACAUCCCUAUGGGAUAGAUACCAUUUCCCUUUUGACUGAUGAAGAGACUGAGGCUCAGAGAGAAUAAGGAGCUUGCCUACGGUCUACAGUAGCGGUGAGACCCCCAGGAGCUUGGCUGUGGUGUGCCUUGGCAGUGGGGCUUGAGGCAGCCUCACUGAGUUCCCCAGCAG
This is a long non-coding RNA of Bos taurus (domestic cattle), 340 nucleotides long. NCBI's taxonomy places the organism in Eukaryota, Metazoa, Chordata, Mammalia, Artiodactyla, Bovidae. The record is from Ensembl.